RNAcentral lists this transfer RNA (75 nucleotides) under Anaerolineae bacterium. Its description in RNAcentral is "tRNA-Lys". It matches the Rfam family "tRNA", at positions 9 to 71 of the family's 71-position model. Rfam says of the family: Transfer RNA (tRNA) molecules are approximately 80 nucleotides in length. Their secondary structure includes four short double-helical elements and three loops (D, anti-codon, and T loops). The record is from RNAcentral. Lineage: Bacteria; Bacillati; Chloroflexota; Anaerolineae.
GGCAAUACAAUGGGAUCGAAAUAGUGCAGUUGACUCUUAAUCAAUUGGUUGUAGGUUCGAGUCCUACUGGGGUCA